RNAcentral lists this ribosomal RNA (543 nucleotides) under Triticum aestivum (bread wheat). RNAcentral describes it as "partial small subunit ribosomal RNA". The record is from RNAcentral. Lineage: Eukaryota; Viridiplantae; Streptophyta; Magnoliopsida; Poales; Poaceae.
AUGGCACCAUCAGCAUCCACUGGUCAGAAAGUCAACCUGAAGGGGUACAAGACCCUACCCCAUGCUAUUCAGCUGAUAACGAUGAUGUCGGGGACGUCUUCAGCUUCAACAUUGACGAUUGGGGACCGGAACAAGAAGUUCAGGGUGAGCCGUGGUUUGACGUGGAUGGUGGUUAUCUGCAUACCGGCUACUUUCAUUGCCAUCACAGCAGGUUCGGCCUACAGGAUGUAUAACAAACCCAUCUGGGCCGCCGGCUUCCCAUCAAGGCUGCCAGCUGUCUUGAUGUUGGGAGCUUACCUGGCAGUGGUGAACCUGGCGCUGGGGUACUUGACCCUCUACUUGCCACAGGCGCCCUUCGCUGUGUGGAAAGCUCUGGAUGAUGUUGUUCUCAGGUUGAUUGGCCUUGCCGCUAUCUUAAUCUCUGGCCCUGUUUUGUUGUCUGCCCAGGCGUGGCUGCACAUCAUCUGGGCUUGCCUUCUUGGCGUCCUCAUUGCUGCCAUCCUUGCCUUCUGUGUCUGUCUUGCUCGGACGUACAGCAAGUAG